This 253-nucleotide ribosomal RNA is filed under the name uncultured bacterium. RNAcentral describes it as "partial 16S ribosomal RNA". It matches the Rfam family "Bacterial small subunit ribosomal RNA", at positions 524 to 776 of the family's 1533-position model. The record is from RNAcentral.
UACAGAGGUCCCAAGCGUUGUUCGGAUUCACUGGGCGUAAAGGGUGCGUAGGUGGCCGGGUAAGUUUGAUGUGAAAUCUCCGAGCUUAACUCGGAAACUGCAUUGAAUACUAUCCUGCUCGAGGGUUGGAAGGGGGACUGGAAUUCUCGGUGUAGCAGUGAAAUGCGUAGAUAUCGAGAGGAACACCAGUGGCGAAGGCGAGUCCCUGGACAACACCUGACACUGAGGCACGAAAGCUAGGGGAGCAAACAGG